Molecule: long non-coding RNA, 889 nt
Filed under: Olea europaea subsp. europaea
Lineage: Eukaryota; Viridiplantae; Streptophyta; Magnoliopsida; Lamiales; Oleaceae
Source: RNAcentral
AGAAAAUAUUAUAAAAUUUUAAUUUAUAAAAGAAUAGAAACCCCUCUAUAUCUUCAAAAUUCAGCCCAUUACAAAUUUCUGCAAACCUUACUCUCCAGUCUCCACAGACCACAAAACUCACGCUCACGUAUGGGCACGGCUCCACAGACCACACUCCACGUCUCGUCGCCUCCGGAACGUACGUAGCCGGCCGACUUCUAAGGUAACUGAAUCUCUUUUCCUUGUUUCAUUAUGGUUUUUAGUUUCUGUUCUAGACUUCUUGGAUUAUUCAAAAUUUGAAUUUUAAAGUUGUUUUAUUUCCUAUUGCACUUCUACUUGAUUUAGGGUUUUAGUUCCUGUUCUAGGAUUAUUCAAAAAAAUUGUUGUUUUUGUGGAGCUAGACAGUUUAAAAAAUGUAGGUAAAGCUUUCUGUUGUAGUAAUGAAUUUGUGAAGUUAAAAAAUGGUGAGAUUCCUCAAGAAUUGUCUCGUCUAUUUUUUAUUUCUUGACACAUUAAUUUGUUUUUUGCAGGUUGGAGUGUGCGGUUGGUUUGAGUUAAAUUUGUCAUCUUUGGAGGAUAGUCCUUAAAAGGAAUAGUUUGCUGUUUGCUUGAAUUUUGAGUUUAUUCCUUUAAGAUUUACAAUACAUGCUCUCUGUUUCUUUGGCAUCUUGUUUAGCUUUUUGAGUUUGCCAUUUAUUUUUAAUUUCUGUUUGAGACUUUUGUGUGUGUCAAUUUCUGACAAAACUGUUUACCUAGAUCAAUAAAUAGAUGUAGAACCUGCAAUUUCGAUAGUUUCUAGUUCGUUGUUCAUUAUGAUUAAUGCCGUGAAAGUCAGUUUUCUCUACCCUUUUGUCACUAUGAAGAAGAAAACUGUUGACAUCUGUAAUUUCACUGCGUUUUACAAGUUUGG